Molecule: ribosomal RNA, 1490 nt
Filed under: Helicobacter pylori
Lineage: Bacteria; Pseudomonadati; Campylobacterota; Epsilonproteobacteria; Campylobacterales; Helicobacteraceae
Description: bacterial SSU rRNA
Rfam family: Bacterial small subunit ribosomal RNA
Source: RNAcentral
UUUAUGGAGAGUUUCAUCCUGGCUCAGAGUGAACGCUGGCGGCGUGCCUAAUACAUGCAAGUCGAACGAUGAAGCUUCUAGCUUGCUAGAGUGCUGAUUAGUGGCGCACGGGUGAGUAACGCAUAGGUCAUGUGCCUCUUAGUUUGGGAUAGCCAUUGGAAACGAUGAUUAAUACCAGAUACUCCCUACGGGGGAAAGAUUUAUCGCUAAGAGAUCAGCCUAUGUCCUAUCAGCUUGUUGGUAAGGUAAUGGCUUACCAAGGCUAUGACGGGUAUCCGGCCUGAGAGGGUGAACGGACACACUGGAACUGAGACACGGUCCAGACUCCUACGGGAGGCAGCAGUAGGGAAUAUUGCUCAAUGGGGGAAACCCUGAAGCAGCAACGCCGCGUGGAGGAUGAAGGUUUUAGGAUUGUAAACUCCUUUUGUUAGAGAAGAUAAUGACGGUAUCUAACGAAUAAGCACCGGCUAACUCCGUGCCAGCAGCCGCGGUAAUACGGAGGGUGCAAGCGUUACUCGGAAUCACUGGGCGUAAAGAGCGCGUAGGCGGGAUAGUCAGUCAGGUGUGAAAUCCUAUGGCUUAACCAUAGAACUGCAUUUGAAACUACUAUUCUAGAGUGUGGGAGAGGUAGGUGGAAUUCUUGGUGUAGGGGUAAAAUCCGUAGAGAUCAAGAGGAAUACUCAUUGCGAAGGCGACCUGCUGGAACAUUACUGACGCUGAUUGCGCGAAAGCGUGGGGAGCAAACAGGAUUAGAUACCCUGGUAGUCCACGCCCUAAACGAUGGAUGCUAGUUGUUGGAGGGCUUAGUCUCUCCAGUAAUGCAGCUAACGCAUUAAGCAUCCCGCCUGGGGAGUACGGUCGCAAGAUUAAAACUCAAAGGAAUAGACGGGGACCCGCACAAGCGGUGGAGCAUGUGGUUUAAUUCGAAGAUACACGAAGAACCUUACCUAGGCUUGACAUUGAGAGAAUCCGCUAGAAAUAGUGGAGUGUCUGGCUUGCUAGACCUUGAAAACAGGUGCUGCACGGCUGUCGUCAGCUCGUGUCGUGAGAUGUUGGGUUAAGUCCCGCAACGAGCGCAACCCCCUUUCUUAGUUGCUAACAGGUUAUGCUGAGAACUCUAAGGAUACUGCCUCCGUAAGGAGGAGGAAGGUGGGGACGACGUCAAGUCAUCAUGGCCCUUACGCCUAGGGCUACACACGUGCUACAAUGGGGUGCACAAAGAGAAGCAAUACUGUGAAGUGGAGCCAAUCUUCAAAACACCUCUCAGUUCGGAUUGUAGGCUGCAACUCGCCUGCAUGAAGCUGGAAUCGCUAGUAAUCGCAAAUCAGCCAUGUUGCGGUGAAUACGUUCCCGGGUCUUGUACUCACCGCCCGUCACACCAUGGGAGUUGUGUUUGCCUUAAGUCAGGAUGCUAAAUUGGCUACUGCCCACGGCACACACAGCGACUGGGGUGAAGUCGUAACAAGGUAACCGUAGGUGAACCUGCGGCU